GACGAACGCUGGCGGCGUGCCUAAUACAUGCAAGUUGAGCGCUGAAGGUUGGUACUUGUACCAACUGGAUGAGCAGCGAACGGGUGAGUAACGCGUGGGGAAUCUGCCUUUGAGCGGGGGACAACAUUUGGAAACGAAUGCUAAUACCGCAUAAAAACUUUAAACACAAGUUUUAAGUUUGAAAGAUGCAAUUGCAUCACUCAAAGAUGAUCCCGCGUUGUAUUAGCUAGUUGGUGAGGUAAAGGCUCACCAAGGCGAUGAUACAUAGCCGACCUGAGAGGGUGAUCGGCCACAUUGGGACUGAGACACGGCCCAAACUCCUACGGGAGGCAGCAGUAGGGAAUCUUCGGCAAUGGACGAAAGUCUGACCGAGCAACGCCGCGUGAGUGAAGAAGGUUUUCGGAUCGUAAAACUCUGUUGGUAGAGAAGAACGUUGGUGAGAGUGGAAAGCGCAUCAAGUGACGGUAACUACCCAGAAAGGGACGGCGAACUACGU
RNAcentral lists this ribosomal RNA (496 nucleotides) under uncultured bacterium. Its description in RNAcentral is "partial 16S ribosomal RNA". It matches the Rfam family "Bacterial small subunit ribosomal RNA", at positions 28 to 506 of the family's 1533-position model. The record is from RNAcentral.